GGGCGGAUGUGCAAUCUUCACCUGUUUAUUCGGUAGAGGGUGCCAUCUUCAGGUAGCCCUUCACGUUGUACAGAAAACAAUGGAGACUUCUCCUCCUGGGGCAGAUGUUGCACGUGAGGCAAGUAAGGCACUGGUCUCAUAUAUGCAACUGGUGACCAGACAUCUCCAGCAGAAUGACCCAUGGCCCAUGGGCACCUCAAACUCAACAUGUCAGAAAGUGAAUUCUGUCAGGUGUGGUGGCUCACAUCUGUAAUCCCAGCACUUUGGGAGACCAAGGCGGGCAGAUCACUUGAGGUCAAGAAUUCAAGACCAGCCUGGCCAACAUGAGUCUGGCUGGAGUGCAAUAACGCGAUCUCAGCUCACUGCAACCUCUGCCUCCUGGGUUCAAGUGAUUCUCCUGCCUCAGCCUCCCGAGUAGCUGGGACUACAGUUUCACACUGUCACCCAGGCUGGAAUGCAAUGGUGCAAUCUCAGCUCACUGCAACCUCCGCCUACUGGGUUCAAGCGAGUCUCCUGCCUCAGCCUCCUGAGUAGCUGGGAUUACAGGCGUGCGCCACCACAUCCAGCUAAUUUUUUUUUUUUUUAUUUUUAGUAGAGACGGUGUUUC
Molecule: long non-coding RNA, 607 nt
Filed under: Homo sapiens (human)
Lineage: Eukaryota; Metazoa; Chordata; Mammalia; Primates; Hominidae
Description: GTF3C2 antisense RNA 1
Source: RNAcentral